This 240-nucleotide unclassified non-coding RNA is filed under the name soil metagenome. RNAcentral describes it as "partial contains 5.8S ribosomal RNA, internal transcribed spacer 2, and large subunit ribosomal RNA". The record is from RNAcentral.
AACAUCGCGCACCUGCGGGAACCUGCGGAAGGAUCAUUACAGAGUUGCAAAACUCCCUAAACCAUUGUGGACGUUACCUAAACCGUUGCUUCGGCGGGCGGCCCGGGUCCUUCCCGGCGCCCAUCGGCCCUCGCGGGCGCCCGCCGGAGGUAAACCAAACUAUUGCAUUGUAUGGCCUCUCUGAGUCUUCUGUACUGAAUAAGUCAAAACUUUCAACAAUGGAUCUCAGAUCGGAAGAGC